GACGAACGCUGGCGGCGUGCUUAACACAUGCAAGUCGAACGGUGAAGCGAGUGCUUGCACUCGUGGAUCAGUGGCGAACGGGUGAGUAACACGUGAGUAACCUGCCCAUCACUCUGGGAUAAGCACUGGAAACGGUGUCUAAUACUGGAUACGACCAACCCUUGCACGGGGUGUUGGUGGAAAGAUUUAUCGGUGAUGGAUGGACUCGCGGCCUAUCAGCUUGUUGGCGGGGUAAUGGCCCACCAAGGCGACGACGGGUAGCCGGCCUGAGAGGGUGACCGGCCACACUGGGACUGAGACACGGCCCAGACUCCUACGGGAGGCAGCAGUGGGGAAUAUUGCACAAUGGGCGAAAGCCUGAUGCAGCGACGCCGCGUGAGGGAUGACGGCCUUCGGGUUGUAAACCUCUUUCAGCAGGGAAGAAGCGAAAGUGACGGUACCUGCAGAAGAAGCACCGGCUAACUACGUG
RNAcentral lists this ribosomal RNA (469 nucleotides) under uncultured bacterium. Its description in RNAcentral is "partial 16S ribosomal RNA". It matches the Rfam family "Bacterial small subunit ribosomal RNA", at positions 28 to 507 of the family's 1533-position model. The record is from RNAcentral.